CGCUGUGAGGCGUUGAGCUAACCCAUACUAAUUGCCCGUGAGGCUUGACCAUA
This 53-nucleotide ribosomal RNA is filed under the name Pseudomonas segetis. RNAcentral's name for it is "partial 23S rRNA. Bacterial LSU". The record is from RNAcentral. Lineage: Bacteria; Pseudomonadati; Pseudomonadota; Gammaproteobacteria; Pseudomonadales; Pseudomonadaceae.